CCUACGGGAGGCAGCAGUGGGGAAUAUUGGACAAUGGGCGAAAGCCUGAUCCAGCAAUUCCGCGUGUGUGAAGAAGGCCUUCGGGUUGUAAAGCACUUUAGUGGGGGAAGAAACAGCUUGGCCACACCAAGCCUUGACGGUACCCCAAGAAUAAGCACCGGCUAACUCUGUGCCAGCAGCCGCGGUAAUACAGAGGGUGCAAGCGUUAAUCGGAUUUACUGGGCGUAAAGGGUGCGUAGGUGGCUAUUUAAGUCGGAUGUGAAAGCCCGGGGCUCAACCUCGGAAUUGCAUUCGAUACUGAGUGGCUAGAGUUCGGUAGAGGGCGGCGGAAUUUCCGGUGUAGCGGUGAAAUGCGUAGAUAUCGGAAGGAACAUCAAUGGCGAAGGCAGCCGCCUGGGCCUGGACUGACACUGAGGCACGAAAGCGUGGGUAGCAAACAGGAUUAGAUACCCUGGUAGUCCACGCCGUAAACGAUGAGAACUUGACGUUGGUUCGUUUUACGAAUCGGUGUCGCAGCUAACGCGAUAAGUUCUCCGCCUGGGGAGUACGGCCGCAAGGUUGAAACUCAAAUGAAUUGACGG
RNAcentral lists this ribosomal RNA (581 nucleotides) under uncultured bacterium. RNAcentral describes it as "bacterial SSU rRNA". It matches the Rfam family "Bacterial small subunit ribosomal RNA", at positions 338 to 916 of the family's 1533-position model. The record is from RNAcentral.